AGUGAACGCUGGCGGUAGGCCUAACACAUGCAAGUCGAACGGCAGCACAGUAAGAGCUUGCUCUUACGGGUGGCGAGUGGCGGACGGGUGAGGAAUACAUCGGAAUCUACUUUUUCGUGGGGGAUAACGUAGGGAAACUUACGCUAAUACCGCAUACGACCUACGGGUGAAAGCAGGGGAUCUUCGGACCUUGCGCGAUUGAAUGAGCCGAUGUCGGAUUAGCUAGUUGGCGGGGUAAAGGCCCACCAAGGCGACGAUCCGUAGCUGGUCUGAGAGGAUGAUCAGCCACACUGGAACUGGGACACGGUCCAGACUCCUACGGGAGGCAGCAGUGGGGAAUAUUUGACAAUGGGCGCAAGCCUGAUCCAGCCAUACCGCGUGGGUGAAGAAGGCCUUCGGGUUGUAAAGCCCUUUUGUUGGGAAAGAAAAGCAGCAGGUUAAUACCCCGCUGUUCUGACGGUACCCAAAGAAUAAGCACCGGCUAACUUCGUG
This 492-nucleotide ribosomal RNA is filed under the name uncultured bacterium. Its description in RNAcentral is "partial 16S ribosomal RNA". It matches the Rfam family "Bacterial small subunit ribosomal RNA", at positions 29 to 507 of the family's 1533-position model. The record is from RNAcentral.